This 1146-nucleotide ribosomal RNA is filed under the name Pseudomonas aeruginosa. RNAcentral describes it as "bacterial SSU rRNA". It matches the Rfam family "Bacterial small subunit ribosomal RNA", at positions 79 to 1251 of the family's 1533-position model. Lineage: Bacteria; Pseudomonadati; Pseudomonadota; Gammaproteobacteria; Pseudomonadales; Pseudomonadaceae. The record is from RNAcentral.
CUUGCUCCUGGAUUCAGCGAGGACGGGUGAGUAAUGCCUAGGAAUCUGCCUGGUAGUGGGGGAUAACGUCCGGAAACGGGCUAAUACCGCAUACGUCCUGAGGGAGAAAGUGGGGGAUCUUCGGACCUCACGCUAUCAGAUGAGUCUAGGUCGGAUUAGCUAGUUGGUGGGGUAAAGGCCUACUAAGGCGACGAUCCGUAACUGGUCUGAGAGGAUGAUCAGUCACACUGCAACUGACACGGUCCAGACUCCUACGGGAGGCAGCAGUGGGGAAUAUUAAAAGGACAAUGGGCGAAAGCCUGAUCCAGCCAUGCCGCGUGUGUGAAGAAGGUCUUCGGAUUGUAAAGCACUUUAAGUUGGGAGGAAGGGCAGUAAGUUAAUACCUUGCUGUUUUGACGUUACCAACAGAAAGCACCGGCUAACUUCGUGCCAGCAGCCGCGGUAAUACGAAGGGUGCAAGCGUUAAUCGGAAUUACUGGGCGUAAAGCGCGCGUAGGUGGUUCAGCAAGUUGGAUGUGAAAUCCGGGCUCAACCUGGGAACUGCAUCCAUAACUACUGAGCUAGAGUACGGUAGAGGGUGGUGGAAUUUCCUGUGUAGCGGUGAAAUGCGUAGAUAUAGGAAGGAACACCAAAGUGGCGAAGGCGACCACCUGGACUGAUACUGACACUGGUGCGAAAGCGUGGGGAGCAAACAGGAUUAGAUACCCUGGUAGUCCACGCCGUAAACGAUGUCGACUAGCCGUUGGGAUCCUUGAGAUCUUAGUGGAGCAGCUAACGCGAUAAGUCGACGCCUGGGGAGUACGGCCGCAAGGUUAAAACUCAAAUGAAUUGACGGGGGCCCGCACAAGCGGUGGAGCAUGUGGUUUAAUUCGAAGCAACGCGAAGAACCUCUGGCCUUGACAUGCUGAGAACUUUCCAGAGAUGGAUUGGUGCCUUCGGGAACUCAGACACAGGUGCUGCAUGGCUGUCGUCAGCUCGUGUCGUGAGAUGUUGGGUUAAGUCCCGUAACGAGCGCAACCCUUGUCCUUAGUUACCAGCACCUCGGGUGGGCACUCUAAGGAGACCCUGCCGGUGACACAACCGGAGCAAGGUGGGGAUGACGUCAUCUACACACGUGCUACAAUGGUCGGUACGGAAAGGGUUGCC